CGUUGGGCCAGAAAAAAGCAUUGAGCUUGAGGGACUAGACUAAUCAAAAAAUGGAAUAACAUGGCAACAAUUACACUGAUGAGUGAGAGGGAAGCUACGGAUGCAUUCAGACACCUAUGGCACCACAGACUCAGCGCAUUCAGCAUUUUGUGUUUAGUGUCUUGUGUUUUUGAGAGCAGGAACUGAUAACCUCUCCUCAAAGAAAGUAAAAGGCAUGAAAUACCAUCAUUCUCAUGGAGAAAUUGGAGGUGAGAGGAACAGCAUGGUUAGAGUAAUGGCAGCCACUUAAAAUGUUUAUUCACAAUUCAUCUACUUCUCAAAAAGAAUUUGAGACAAGUUAUAAAGUUCUAAUAAAACAGAUUCAUGAACAGAAACUACAAAACAAACAUGAAGUAGUAAUCGAAGAAAAAUUCAUAUCAAGAAAUCCUGGGAAAAAGAGUGCAAUUUCUAGCUCUGAGGUUUCCAACAGCUGGGCAGAGAGAAACUCUGCGGAUUACAGAAUCCUCCUUAACUAAUCAUAAGAAUUGUGUUG
This is a long non-coding RNA of Symphalangus syndactylus (siamang), 532 nucleotides long. RefSeq lists it as uncharacterized. The record is from RefSeq and is a predicted model, not a curated record. Lineage: Eukaryota; Metazoa; Chordata; Mammalia; Primates; Hylobatidae.